UUAGGAAUUGAAUUACUACAAAUAAAAUAUAAACCUGGAGUAAACAUACAUACUUGCGUUUAGGCUAUUCAUAAUUUAUGGGAUUUUGUUUCUAUAUACACAUACUCUACCAUAGAUACAAGAAUUGGAACCUUACAUAGAACUACAAAUCUUUUGCAUUCUACAGAUGACAUUAAUAUGAAAUAGAAAUAGGGGAUUUACUUUCACAACAAAGAGUAAUUCAAUACUUUGAAUCCUCUGUAAGUCUUACUAAAAGAGAGCCGAUUGUUAUUUCGAACUAAAGGUAUUUAUCGAUAAUUUAUCCUAUAUUUAAGAGUACAAUGACAGUCUAGAGAGAACAUGGAACAUCAAAAUCAACGAAUUAUUUAUCAGAACGGAUCUAUAAAAAUCUAUUUAAAAAUUAUCAUUUUGGUUAAGUAAAAGUAUCUUAAAUAUUUUUUUUUAUGAAAUUGUAGCGAUAAUUGUUACUUUAAAGAAAUUCAUAUAUAAAUUAAAGCUUUUAAACUCAAAAUAUAAUGAACAAAAUUCGAACUUUAGUACUCCAUAACAAACAAUUCCAG
Molecule: long non-coding RNA, 560 nt
Filed under: Lepeophtheirus salmonis (salmon louse)
Lineage: Eukaryota; Metazoa; Arthropoda; Copepoda; Siphonostomatoida; Caligidae
Description: uncharacterized LOC121113944
Source: RNAcentral